UUGACCUCAGAUCAGA
Molecule: ribosomal RNA, 16 nt
Filed under: Arthrobotrys sp. ATCC MYA-4125
Lineage: Eukaryota; Fungi; Ascomycota; Orbiliomycetes; Orbiliales; Orbiliaceae
Description: partial 28S ribosomal RNA
Source: RNAcentral